UGCCAGACAUCGCUGUGAUUUUUAGCUGCUAAUCAAGAGGAAGAAGCGGGGAGAGAGAAAGUGGUGCAAAGAGCUGCAGAGCCCCAGCAAGGGGGGACCCUGGAUGGUCACUGCUGCGGGGUCACAGCGAGGGAUGUCUAAGCCACCACUGGAAUCCCAUCAGGAGCUGCUUUUCCAGCAGUUUAUGCUCAACCCAAAAACCCAUAGGAAGAGGGAUGCUAAAACAACACGAGCUGUGCCAUGUCUAGUCCUUGGCUCUCAGUGUUGGCUAUGGGAGAGGAGAAACCAACAUUCCUGGCAAGCAGUGAAUGAUCCAGAAAAGUGCAGAGCUCGCCCAUGGCACCCUUCCGUAGUCCAGUCCUUCUCCAGCAGACAAGGAGGUGCACUGCCAAGAGGCCCUUGGCAGGAAGCAGGAGAUGGAACCCAGUGACUCCAGUGGGACCCAGUGCCGGAGGGUCCCUGCUGUGGUGCUGGGCUGGGUGGCUGCUUUCCUGCACUUGGAUCUAAGCAGCUCCUUGGAUAUUUACUCAAUUGCCAGGAAUGAGAGGGAGGAGGUGGAUGACAACAUGUUUCCAGUGCUCUGCUUUGUGCAGAGAUCCUCAAGGCAGCAUGUGUGUGUCUGCAGAGGGCUCAGCAUGCUUCUCAGUGCUGCUUCCAAACAAGGAUCAAGUAAAUUUUCCAAAGCAUA
This is a long non-coding RNA of Pseudopipra pipra, 688 nucleotides long. RefSeq lists it as uncharacterized. The record is from RefSeq and is a predicted model, not a curated record. The transcript is spliced from 2 exons. Lineage: Eukaryota; Metazoa; Chordata; Aves; Passeriformes; Pipridae.